Molecule: unclassified non-coding RNA, 197 nt
Filed under: Ceratobasidium sp. AG-A
Lineage: Eukaryota; Fungi; Basidiomycota; Agaricomycetes; Cantharellales; Ceratobasidiaceae
Description: partial internal transribed spacer region
Source: RNAcentral
AUUGGAGGUUUUUGCAGAUGUCACCGUUUGCUCCUUUUAAAUAAAUUAGGUGGAUUUCCGUAUACAAUUGGUUCCCCUUGGGGUGAUAAGUAUCACUCGGUGAGGACACUGUAAAAAGGUGGCCAGGCAAUACAGAUGAACCGCUUCUAAUAGUCCCAUUGACUUGGACAAUUACAUUUAUGAUCUGAUCUCAAAUC